UUCGAGCGUCAUUAUAACCACUCAAGCUCUCGCUUGGUAUUGGGGUGCGCGGUUCCGCGGCCUCUAAAGUCAGUGGCGGUGCAUCCGGCUCCGAGCGUAGUAAUUCUUCUCGCUCUGGAGGUCCGGUUGUGUGCUUGCCAUCAACCCCCAAUUUUUUUCAGGUUGACCUCGGAUCAGGUAGGGAUACCCGCUGAACUUAA
RNAcentral lists this unclassified non-coding RNA (200 nucleotides) under soil metagenome. RNAcentral's name for it is "partial contains internal transcribed spacer 2 and large subunit ribosomal RNA". The record is from RNAcentral.